GAGUACGGCCGCAAGGUUAAAACUCAAAGGAAUUGACGGGGACCCGCACAAGCGGUGGAUGAUGUGGAUUAAUUCGAUGCAACGCGAAAAACCUUACCUACCCUUGACAUGUCGAGAACUUUUCAGAGAUGAAUUGGUGCCCGAAAGGGAACUUGAACACAGGUGCUGCAUGGCUGUCGUCAGCUCGUGUCGUGAGAUGUUGGGUUAAGUCCCGCAACGAGCGCAACCCUUGUCCUUAGUUGCUACGCAAGAGCACUCUAAGGAUACUGCCGGUGACAAACCGGAGGAAGGUGGGGAUGACGUCAAGUCCUCAUGGCCCUUAUGGGUAGGGCUUCACACGUCAUACAAUGGUCGGUACAGAGGGUCGCCAACCCGCGAGGGGGAGCCAAUCCCACAAAACCGAUCGUAGUCCGGAUUGCAGUCUGCAACCCGACUGCAUGAAGUCGGAAUCGCUAGUAAUCGCGGAUCAGCAUGUCGCGGUGAAUACGUUCCCGGGUCUUGUACACACCGCCCGUCACACCAUGGGAGUGGGUUUUACCAGAAGUAGUUAGCCUAACCGCAAGGAGGGCGAUUACCACGGUAGGUCUCAUGACUGGGGUG
This 600-nucleotide ribosomal RNA is filed under the name uncultured bacterium. Its description in RNAcentral is "bacterial SSU rRNA". It matches the Rfam family "Bacterial small subunit ribosomal RNA", at positions 878 to 1482 of the family's 1533-position model. The record is from RNAcentral.